CGCUAGCUACAGGCUUAACACAUGCAAGUCGAGGGGCAUCAGGAAGAAAGCUUGCUUUCUUUGCUGGCGACCGGCGCACGGGUGAGUAACACGUAUCCAACCUGCCCUUUACUCGGGGAUAGCCUUUCGAAAGAAAGAUUAAUACCCGAUAGCAUAAUGAUUCCGCAUGGUUUCAUUAUUAAAGGAUUCCGGUAAAGGAUGGGGAUGCGUUCCAUUAGGUUGUUGGUGAGGUAACGGCCCACCAAGCCUUCGAUGGAUAGGGGUUCUGAGAGGAAGGUCCCCCACAUUGGAACUGAGACACGGUCCAAACUCCUACGGGAGGCAGCAGUGAGGAAUAUUGGUCAAUGGGCGCUAGCCUGAACCAGCCAAGUAGCGUGAAGGAUGAAGGCUCUAUGGGUCGUAAACUUCUUUUAUAUAAGAAUAAAGUGCAGUAUGUAUACUGUUUUGUAUGUAUUAUAUGAAUAAGGAUCGGCUAACUCCGUGCCAGCAGCCGCGGUAAUACGGAGGAUCCGAGCGUUAUCCGGAUUUAUUGGGUUUAAAGGGAGCGUAGGUGGACUGGUAAGUCAGUUGUGAAAGUUUGCGGCUCAACCGUAAAAUUGCAGUUGAUACUGUCAGUCUUGAGUACAGUAGAGGUGGGCGGAAUUCGUGGUGUAGCGGUGAAAUGCUUAGAUAUCACGAAGAACUCCGAUUGCGAAGGCAGCUCACUGGACUGCAACUGACACUGAUGCUCGAAAGUGUGGGUAUCAAACAGGAUUAGAUACCCUGGUAGUCCACACAGUAAACGAUGAAUACUCGCUGUUUGCGAUAUACAGUAAGCGGCCAAGCGAAAGCAUUAAGUAUUCCACCUGGGGAGUACGCCGGCAACGGUGAAACUCAAAGGAAUUGACGGGGGCCCGCACAAGCGGAGGAACAUGUGGUUUAAUUCGAUGAUACGCGAGGAACCUUACCCGGGCUUAAAUUGCAGUGGAAUGAUGUGGAAACAUGUCAGUGAGCAAUCACCGCUGUGAAGGUGCUGCAUGGUUGUCGUCAGCUCGUGCCGUGAGGUGUCGGCUUAAGUGCCAUAACGAGCGCAACCCUUAUCUUUAGUUACUAACAGGUUAUGCUGAGGACUCUAGAGAGACUGCCGUCGUAAGAUGUGAGGAAGGUGGGGAUGACGUCAAAUCAGCACGGCCCUUACGUCCGGGGCUACACACGUGUUACAAUGGGGGGUACAGAAGGCAGCUAGCGGGUGACCGUAUGCUAAUCCCAAAAGCCUCUCUCAGUUCGGAUCGAAGUCUGCAACCCGACUUCGUGAAGCUGGAUUCGCUAGUAAUCGCGCAUCAGCCACGGCGCGGUGAAUACGUUCCCGGGCCUUGUACACACCGCCCGUCAAGCCAUGGGAGCCGGGGGUACCUGAAGUACGUAACCGCAAGGAUCGUCCUAGGGUAAAACUGGUGACUGGGGC
Molecule: ribosomal RNA, 1444 nt
Filed under: uncultured organism
Description: SSU rRNA
Rfam family: Bacterial small subunit ribosomal RNA
Source: RNAcentral